UCCGACGCCGCCGCCCGCCCCGCCGCCUCCCCGGGGAGGAUGCUCCGGCUCGGCUGCGCACUCAGGCGGCUCGGGGCGGGACCUGGUGCUCGGGCCUCCGGCCGGCUCCCUGCUGGCGCCGAGAUGCCGAAGAAAGCUGGUGCGACGAGCAAGGGUAAAAGCCAGAGCAAGGAGCCAGAGCAAGCGCUGCCUCCCUUAGGCCCCGUGGCAGUGGAUGCCAAAGGCUGUGUCACCAUAGCCAUCCACGCCAAGCCGGGCGCUAAGCACAAUGCCGUGACAGAUUUGACAACCGAAGCUGUGAGUGUCGCCAUUGCAGCACCUCCAUCGGAAGGGGAGGCUAACGCUGAGCUCUGUCGGUAUCUCUCCAAGGUCUUAGAACUCAGGAAGAGUGAUGUGGUUUUAGAUAAGGGCAGUAAAUCUCGUGAAAAAGUGGUGAAGCUUUUGGCCUCCACAACUCCAGAGGAGGUCUUGGAGAAAUUGGAAAAGCAAGUUGAAAAAAAAUAAAAUCAACGGGAACAAAUCCUCGGGGGAGAAUGAACAAAACCAACCAAGUGCGAGCGAAGAGCUAGAAUCUAGCUGCUGCUAGAUGAUGACACGAAGGCGUGUCCUCGGGGCCUGCAACGCCAAUGAGCCUGCUCCAGCACGAGCAACAACUUCACGUUCUUGCCCGAUGAAAUACAAGCGCACCGCCUUUCAGAUCUGUGCCCCAACAUUAGUUUAUUUACCACAAAUAAAACCACACCGAGCUCUUCUGGCUGCAGGCGGCUGCCUGGGAAAGGACUCAGCAGAAUGGGGUUGCGCUGCCCCAGGAGGUGAGACAGAGGAAGGUAAGGACUGGAAGCCACCGCGAUGGUCACUCCCCCGCAAAGCCCAACGGAACCGGUCUCCCAGGGGCGCACCGUGGACGUCCAGCGCGGAGGAAACGACUGGCCGUGAAGGGUAAGGAGCUUCCGAUCUGGCGAAAGCGCCCGGACCUGGAACCGCAGACCGAGGACACCGCGGCUCCACCGCCUCCCUCCUUCCCGGCGCCCAAACCGGCAACUCACCCGCCCAGCGCGGUGUCGCCUCAGCUCGGGCCGAGCUCGGCGGGCGAAACGCGCAGGAAACCCACCUCCGGCCCCCCACGCGUCAGAGCGACUCCACACUCACCUCACCUCCCCGAGGUAGCGGAGCCACUCCUGUCAGACGGAAUCCGACAGCCCCGACUUCCGCUUCCGGCGAGCUCCGCGCAGGUGCGCCUGUCAAGUCUCGCGAUAGGUGGGGCGCGGCGUGCGGCGGUUUCCACAGUUGAACCGUCGGCGGAGCCAACCGCCGAACGCGACUCUCUUGCGAUGACGGGACCUGUGCGCUCGGCGCCUGCCGGGCGGCCGUGCAGGAAAAGACGUCGCCGGGUAUUAAGUCCCCGUGACUGGGAGCCGGUGGCGGAGUCAUGUCCUUGGGCCUGUUGAUGCACAUGCAGAAGAUCGCCCGUUGUCAGCCUCACUUUGACCCAGGGAUCUGGAGGUGGAGUAGACCACCAGUAGGCCUGGCGAAUCCUGGCAUGGAGAGAGCCCUGCUUUCAGAGGCAGCGAGGGACCUUGGACAAUGACCGUUUUAAAGAGGGUUAAACUGAGGCUGAGGAGGGCAUAUGAUUUAUUCAAGGGCACAGCUGCCACACUAAGCGACUUUACUGCGGCUGCACAGCCCAGGCUCUCCGACUGCACAGUGGGAGUGGACCCCCAGAAGGCAGAGGCUCUGUUCCGGCAGCUUCUCCACCAGAAAGUGAACUCCACAAGGAGGUGGUCGGACGCCCCGCAGCUUCAUUUCAUCGAGUCCUUUCCAGUAUUUAAAAUUGUUGUCCAGGUGCUGCAGUGACUCCUGUAGGUCAACAAAGUCGUCCCAAGCAUGGUACAUGUCUGUGACGAAGGAGUCGAUGGAGAUCUGGGACUUGGGGAAGCUGCAGGUGUUUCGGUCAAAAGCUGGCAUCGCCACAGGUAAGUCCAGCUUCUUUUCUUCUUCGGUCUGAGAAAAAUACUCCUCCGAGAUGCGUGCAGCCCACUCGAUGCACUGCUCCAGGGGCCGGCAGGGGUUGGACACGUCCGCGCACUUGAUCAUCAGCCGCUUGAUCAGAGUCCGGUUCUCUGGAGACCGGAGCAUCGUGUCUACGUCAGGAGGGUUUGGCUCACUCCCCUCGCUUUCCUCCAGCUCUGCCAAGGCCUUGACGACGCUGUUGACAAACUUAUGGAUGUGCUCGAAGUGCCUGGUCAUCUCUGUGGCCAAGACCAUGUCGAUGAUGGCCUGGCGCAGCGUCCGGUAGUCAUUCCUCCACAUUCUUGAAGAUGUUGCUCUUGUCCUCCCUGGCGGCCAGCUGGAAGGCCAGGGCCGCGUGGUGGCUCUCCGACACGGCACAGUCACACAGCACCGCCAGCGGGCUGCCCGCGUUGCACGGGAAGAGGUUGGUCCUCCCCGGGGGGUCCAGGUCGUGGAUGGCGGCUGUGAUGAGGGCGGCGGCCUUGUCCACUGAGCCUAACGCUUGCUUGAUCCUCUCCUGGCAGAGGAAGUAGGCAGUGGCGUGCAGCACGUCGGCAGCGGGGGUGGAGCUGUGGGUAGGGGUUGGAGGAGUGGUAGUUGGCUUCCAUAGUCUGCAGCCACAGCCGCAGCGUCGUCUCCGAGCACUUCAAGAAGUCACAGACCCCAAGGCCAGCGAAGAUUUUGAGACCAAGAAAAGUCAAAGGCCUUUUCUGAGUGGCAGUCUCCAGUUCAAAGACAUUAAAGUCCCAGUUGUCAUCGUUUUCCAUGGCCUCAGCUAUGCGCGGUGGGAUGUCGUGAAGGGACUUGGAGGUGAGUCAGCUGCCCGAAAUUUGAUGCAGGUUUUUUGUGGAGAGAGUAUACUCAUUCCCAGACAGUCUUCGAAAACCGUCAGACAUCAGGCCCCCAGUGAGGUCCUUGGUGUGAGGAUCCUCUUCCCUCACCCCGAACUGUGGUGAAUACAGCUCCGAGGUUCUCAGAAUUUCCAGGACGCGGUCUAAGGCUUCCGUCACAGGCAUGGAGCUGUUCUCCUGGGCAGCACUGAUGAUAUUGAUCACCUUGGUGAUGGGCGCCUCGGUGGUCAUGGAGUGGAUCCGGGCCAUGGAGGAGCGUCGCCUCUGGCUGGCCACUGUGGGCGGGUCAGAAUGAACAGAUUCCGUGAUCUUCUCAGCCUUACUGUUGCCGUUGUUCACUCGGAUGAUGGACACAUAGUGUCCAAUUUUUCCUCCCUGUCCAAUGACAGGUAUUACUUCACAUUUUGUGGUACAUUAUCUCCGUUUUUGGCGUGGUAAACGCCUUGCCACUCCUGUAUGUAGUUGUCCUCACUCGUGAUUUUAAUGGCGUCUUGGCUGUUCUCCAGUGCAGUGAGUACUGAAUUACAAGCCCUGAGUUCCAGCUGUGACCGCCCCUCUCCAAACUCCAGCUGCAGCAGCUCUGCACAACAGGCCCGGAGGCUGGGGUUCUCCACGAACCUCCUCCUAAAGCCGGCACGAAUGAGGGACAUCACAGACUCUUCUCCAUCCCGCCUGCGUACUACACCAGCAAUAACUGUGUUUUCUGAAACUUUUGUUGCUCCAAUAGACCUGCACAGCGUCAGGGCGUCCAGCUGCUGGGGGCUUCUGUGGUCGAUGAUGAUGAUGUCCUGAUUUGCAGCCAGGAAACAGGUCAGGACAGCCUGGACCUCCAGGGCCACCGUGUACUUAAACCCUGCUUUUUCACACGCCUUACGGAGUCCUUCACACUGGCUAUCUUCUCUGACAAACGCCAACAGUACCUGUUGAUCUGCAUGGGUGCAGAAACCUCAUGGGGCCAAACUGCACGUGAGAUGUUGGACUCCACUGAUAAUGAGAACAAGGUGCCCUGAAGUUGUGGAGAGCUUUGGACACAGGAGCCACGGUGAUCUUUAAAACAACAGAAGCCAGAUCAUGGUAUCCCCCAGCCUGCCGGAGCAUUUGGAUACAUCACAAAUCCUUAACCUGGCCGCAGGGUCCUGUGUACGCCUCCCAACCCAUCCCAUGCCUUGCUAGGCUCACAGCUUUCUAACCCCAGGAGCCUCCUUCCGGUUCCUCAAAACUGCCCAGUUCUCCCAUCCAAGUACUAACCAGGCCCGACCCUGCUUAGCUUCCGAGAUCAGACGAGAUCGGGCGCGUUCAGGGUGGUAUGGCCGUGUACAAAACUGCCCAGUUCUGUGCCACCUCAGGCCUGUGGGCAGUUUCCUCUGCCUGGGACCUUUUCCCUCCACUCUGUGCCCGGCUAAUGCUUGUUUGUUCUUCAGGCCUCUUCUUAGAUGCCUGUUCAAAGAAGCCGUUACUCACCAGCCCUCUCAGCCAACAUUAGGACUCCUUUAUUCACACAGAUCAUACUUUCUACAUUUGUGUGAUUAUUUGACUAAUAUAUUUUACCCCCAAAAAACGGUGUUUAUUUUGCUGAGCACUUUAUCCCUAGUGCCCAGCACAGUACCCGAUGCGUAGUAGGUGAUCAAUAUUUGUUUGAAAUAAUAUUUUUUUCUGUUGCUAUAUGGUCUUCAAAACUAUAAUCUAAGAGCUGCAUAAUACCGGAUAGUUAUCCCUUUAAUGGCUUUCAUAAGACAUUUGUUUCAUAUGCAGCUGAAAGAAUUGAAGUCUAAUGGUCAAGAGAGAAAAAUGUUCAAAGUCUCUGGACCAGCCAGCAGUAUCAGAAAUCUGAACACACUAAUAAUAACAUUAUAUGUGUACAUGGUGAGCCUCAUUUUGCUGUUGAAAG
Molecule: RNA transcript, 4749 nt
Organism: Myotis myotis
Lineage: Eukaryota; Metazoa; Chordata; Mammalia; Chiroptera; Vespertilionidae
Gene: CUNH15orf40
Gene name: chromosome unknown C15orf40 homolog
Exons: 11
Source: RefSeq, a predicted model, not a curated record